Small nucleolar RNA from Brassica rapa (field mustard), 107 nucleotides. Lineage: Eukaryota; Viridiplantae; Streptophyta; Magnoliopsida; Brassicales; Brassicaceae. The record is from RefSeq and is a predicted model, not a curated record.
AAUCCAUGGUGGGGGCAUUCUCUUUGAUAUUCCUUGUAGCGCUCCCAAGCUUCAUGAAAGGGUUCGUUGGAUUUUUGCUUGAAGUUGGAUAUUAUGUGCCUCAGUGC